CCUACGGGAGGCAGCAGUGAGGAAUAUUGGUCAAUGGACGAGAGUCUGAACCAGCCAAGUAGCGUGAAGGAUGACUGCCCUAUGGGUUGUAAACUUCUUUUAUAUGGGAAUAAAAUGUUCCACGUGUGGGAUUUUGUAUGUACCAUAUGAAUAAGGAUCGGCUAACUCCGUGCCAGCAGCCGCGGUAAUACGGAGGAUCCGAGCGUUAUCCGGAUUUAUUGGGUUUAAAGGGAGCGUAGGUGGAUUGUUAAGUCAGUUGUGAAAGUUUGCGGCUCAACCGUAAAAUUGCAGUUGAAACUGGCAGUCUUGAGUACAGUAGAGGUGGGCGGAAUUCGUGGUGUAGCGGUGAAAUGCUUAGAUAUCACGAAGAACUCCGAUUGCGAAGGCAGCUCACUGGACUGCAACUGACACUGAGGCUCGAAGGCGUGGGGAGCAAACAGGAUUAGAUACCCUUGUAGUC
RNAcentral lists this ribosomal RNA (460 nucleotides) under uncultured bacterium. RNAcentral describes it as "partial 16S ribosomal RNA". It matches the Rfam family "Bacterial small subunit ribosomal RNA", at positions 338 to 795 of the family's 1533-position model. The record is from RNAcentral.